This 426-nucleotide ribosomal RNA is filed under the name uncultured bacterium. RNAcentral describes it as "bacterial SSU rRNA". It matches the Rfam family "Bacterial small subunit ribosomal RNA", at positions 108 to 518 of the family's 1533-position model. The record is from RNAcentral.
GAGUAACACGUAGGUAACUACCUCUAAGACGAGGAUAACGACUGGAAACGGUCGCUAAAACUGGAUAGGAUCAUUUGAGGCAUCUCGAAUGAUUUAAAGGGGCUUUCAAGCCACACUUAGAGAAAGGCCUGCGGCGCAUUAGCUAGGUUGGUGGGGUAGAGGCCUACCAAGGCGAUGAUGCGUAGCCGGACUGAGAGGUCGAACGGCCACAUUGGGACUGAGACACGGCCCAAACUCCUACGGGAGGCAGCAGUAGGGAAUUUUCGGCAAUGGGGGAAACCCUGACCGAGCAACGCCGCGUGAAUGAAGAACCGUAUUUCGGUAUGUAAAGUUCUUUUAUUAAGGAAGAAUAUCACGGAUAGGAAAUGAUCUGUGAGUGACGGUACUUAAUGAAUAAGCCCCGGCUAACUAUGUGCCAGCCGCAGC